RNAcentral lists this transfer RNA (75 nucleotides) under Defluviimonas salinarum. RNAcentral's name for it is "tRNA-Glu". It matches the Rfam family "tRNA". Rfam says of the family: Transfer RNA (tRNA) molecules are approximately 80 nucleotides in length. Their secondary structure includes four short double-helical elements and three loops (D, anti-codon, and T loops). Further hydrogen bonds mediate the characteristic L-shaped molecular structure. tRNAs have two regions of fundamental functional importance: the anti-codon, which is responsible for specific mRNA codon recognition, and the 3' end, to which the tRNAs corresponding amino acid is attached (by aminoacyl-tRNA synthetases). tRNAs cope with the degeneracy of the genetic code in two manners: having more than one tRNA (with a specific anti-codon) for a particular amino acid; and 'wobble' base-pairing, i.e. permitting non-standard base-pairing at the 3rd anti-codon position. The record is from RNAcentral. Lineage: Bacteria; Pseudomonadati; Pseudomonadota; Alphaproteobacteria; Rhodobacterales; Paracoccaceae.
GGCCCAUUCGUCUAUCGGUCAGGACGUCAGGUUUUCAACCUGAAAAGAGGGGUUCGAUUCCCCUAUGGGCUACCA